AAUGAACGCUGGCGGCGCGCCUAAUACAUGCAAGUCGAGCGAGAAGACGUAGCAAUACGUUUGUAAAGCGGCGAACGGGUGAGGAAUACAUGGGUAACCUACCCUCGAGUGGGGAAUAACUAGCCGAAAGGUUAGCUAAUACCGCGUACGCUUCUUGGACUUCGGUUCAGGGAGGAAAGCGAUGCCGAGGGUAUCGCGCUCUUGGAUGGGCUCAUGUCCUAUCAGCUUGNGGUGAGGUAACGGCUCACCAAGGCUUCGACGGGUAGCUGGUCUGAGAGGACGAUCAGCCACACUGGCACUGCGACACGGG
This 310-nucleotide ribosomal RNA is filed under the name uncultured bacterium. RNAcentral's name for it is "bacterial SSU rRNA". It matches the Rfam family "Bacterial small subunit ribosomal RNA", at positions 29 to 330 of the family's 1533-position model. The record is from RNAcentral.